Molecule: non-coding RNA, 31 nt
Filed under: Mus musculus (house mouse)
Lineage: Eukaryota; Metazoa; Chordata; Mammalia; Rodentia; Muridae
Source: RNAcentral
ACCGCCCGUCCCCGCCCCUUGCCUCUCGGCG